RNAcentral lists this ribosomal RNA (569 nucleotides) under Knoxdaviesia capensis. RNAcentral's name for it is "eukaryotic LSU rRNA". It matches the Rfam family "Eukaryotic large subunit ribosomal RNA", at positions 44 to 637 of the family's 3401-position model. Lineage: Eukaryota; Fungi; Ascomycota; Sordariomycetes; Microascales; Gondwanamycetaceae. The record is from RNAcentral.
CAAUAAGCGGAGGAAAAGAAACCAACAGGGAUUGCCCUAGUAACGGCGAGCGAAGCGGCAACAGCUCAAAUUUGAAAUCUGGUCUUCUGGGCCCGAGUUGUAAUUUGCAGAGGAUGCUUCUGGCAAGGUGCCUUCCGAGUUCCCUGGAACGGGACGCCAUAGAGGGUGAGAGCCCCGUACGGUUGGACACCGAGCCGUUGUGUAGCUCCUUCAACGAGUCGAGUAGUUUGGGAAUGCUGCUCUAAAUGGGAGGUAUAUCUCUUCUAAAGCUAAAUACCGGCCAGAGACCGAUAGCGCACAAGUAGAGUGAUCGAAAGAUGAAAAGCACUUUGAAAAGAGAGUUAAACAGCACGUGAAAUUGUUGAAAGGGAAGCGCUUGUGACCAGACUUGUGCCCGGUGAAUUAGCUGGUGUUCUCACCAGUCGACUUUGCCGGCUCAGGCCAGCAUCGGUUUGUUAUUGGGGAGAAAAACGAUGGGAAUGUGGCUCCUUCGGGAGUGUUAUANCCCGCCGUAUAAUACCCUUUGGCAGACCGAGGACCGCGCAUCUGCAUGGAUGCUGGCGUAAUGG